This 497-nucleotide ribosomal RNA is filed under the name uncultured bacterium. Its description in RNAcentral is "partial 16S ribosomal RNA". It matches the Rfam family "Bacterial small subunit ribosomal RNA", at positions 28 to 507 of the family's 1533-position model. The record is from RNAcentral.
GAUGAACGCUGGCGGCGUGCCUAAUACAUGCAAGUCAAGCGAACAGACGAGGAGCUUGCUCCUCUGACGUUAGCGGCGGACGGGUGAGUAACACGUGGAUAACCUACCUAUAAGACUGGGAUAACUUCGGGAAACCGGAGCUAAUACCGGAUAAUAUAUUGAACCGCAUGGUUCAAUAGUGAAAGACGGUUUUGCUGUCACUUAUAGAUGGAUCCGCGCCGCAUUAGCUAGUUGGUAAGGUAACGGCUUACCAAGGCAACGAUGCGUAGCCGACCUGAGAGGGUGAUCGGCCACACUGGAACUGAGACACGGUCCAGACUCCUACGGGAGGCAGCAGUAGGGAAUCUUCCGCAAUGGGCGAAAGCCUGACGGAGCAACGCCGCGUGAGUGAUGAAGGUCUUCGGAUCGUAAAACUCUGUUAUUAGGGAAGAGCAAAUGUGUAAGUAACUAUGCACGUCUUGACGGUACCUAAUCAGAAAGCCACGGCUAACUACGUG